This is a non-coding RNA of Rhamnusium bicolor, 75 nucleotides long. NCBI's taxonomy places the organism in Eukaryota, Metazoa, Arthropoda, Insecta, Coleoptera, Cerambycidae. The record is from the annotation of a GenBank genome assembly.
GGCUUCGUGAUCGAGUGGUAAAGACACUUGCCUGUUACCCUGGAGUCCCGGGUCCGAUCCCCGGCCGACGGGCUA